Long non-coding RNA from Amphiprion ocellaris (clown anemonefish), 2441 nucleotides. NCBI's taxonomy places the organism in Eukaryota, Metazoa, Chordata, Actinopteri, Pomacentridae. The record is from Ensembl.
GUAGUGGUUAGCACUUUCGCCUUGCAGCGAGAAGAUCCCUGGUUCGCGUCCCUGCUUUCCCGGGAUCUUUCUGCAUGGAGUUUGCAUGUUCUCCCUGUGCAUGUGUGGGUUUUCUCCGGGUACUCCGGCUUCCUCCCACAGUCCAAAAAUAUGCUGAGGUUAAUUGAUCAUUCUAAAUUGCCCGUAGGUGUGAAUGUGAGAGUGAUUGUUUGUCUUUGUAUGUAGCCCUGUGACAGACUGGUGACCUGUCUAGGGUGUCCCCUGCCUUCACCUGAGUCAGCUGGGAUAAACUCUAUCAUCUUGUUGUUUUUCUGCUCGUGGUACUGUUCUUCUUUGUUAGGUUUAACAUUAUCUGCGUUGAGCAAAAGGGUGACCUUAAGUUUAGUACAUCCUAUUCACUGCUGUCACACCCACCCUGCAAAAUUAGAACUGUUAUAUGAUGGCGUGAGAAGACACUGCUUCACCUUAUCCGGUUUUUACUUUUAAUGGCCAGGCCUUUUCAAUUGGAUGAAAGCGUCACCCGUACAUGUGAAACGAUGUUUUCAGAUAGAUGUAUCCUUUUUCUCCCUCAGCUCCUUAGAGCUCAGAAACCUGAAGCUAAACAUGAGAUUUAGCAUGAACAUUGUGCACAGUGAGAACACAGGGAGUGGCCUUUAUCUGAGGAGAACAAAAGAUGGAGUUGGGUCUGGUUCAUCGCCGGUGGCUUUGCAGAUAGUAUAUACUGUGUUACAUCUGUUUUCCAAGUCAGAGAUGAUAGUUGGAUUCGAGAUGAGAGUGCUAGUAGCAUUUCUCCUGGCGGCACUGAGCUGCAGUCCGGCUGGAGCUCGAACUGUGUCGAAAUGUGAACUGAGGAGUCGACUGAUGCAAACACUGGCCAACCUGCCGGAGAAGGCAAAGCAGUCAGGACUGACUGAAGAGAAGAUUGCGGCCAAGAUCGUCCGGUAUGCAGAGCGGGUGUCACAUUUUAACACCAAUGAGGUACAUGAGCUGGGAGACCUUCACAGUCGGGAGAAGAGGGAUGUUCCCAGUAGAGGCUUGUUCAGCAUGGCUGAGGAUGACCGCCGUUUGAGGACUGCCCAGCCCCACACCAGAGAACAACAACAUGCAAGGCCACCUCCAUCACAGAAUCACACCACAUCCCACCCCCACAUUCCAUGGAGUGAGGAGGGGGACAAUGACGUCUGUAAGCUCUAUGGCCUUUUCCAGCUCUGCAGUCACCUGGUCUGCAGCGACGGCUCGACUCCAUCACACAACAUCUGUGAGAUGGACUGCAUCAAAUUGGUUGAUGAUGACAUUUCUGAUGAUGUGUGGUGCCUGCUGAAGAUCUUCACCAAUCUAGUAGAAAACGGCUUCAGUGCACCCAACUUUAAGGAGUCAGGACGAGUGAUCAGACUCAUUUUGCAGGAGGAGCACAAAGAUAAGACAACCUCCAAUUACUUUGCAGAUUGCUCAUGAAAAAGUAAUUUUGUGCCUUAUCUGUCUUAUCUGUCAUUGGAACGAUGAUUCUCCUGUCUAAUGAGCUGGUGUUUAUGACAAUAACAUAAUAAAACAUGUUUUACCAAAUGUUAAAGUGAUUGUUUGUACAGUCAGUUGGUCUUUCAGUCUUUUGGAAAUGAAACAUGAAUGAAUAACAUAUUACAGGUAAAUACAGGUCCCACGGUAGGAACUGACUGCAACAAGUCAGCACACCUUUUAUUGAUGACUUUCAAAAAUACUUCAUAUACCCACCUUUAUUUUUGAAGGCAGACUCAGCCCUCGACAUUAUGGAGGGUACCAUAUUUCUGCAGAGAUGUUUUUGCCACCCUUUUUUUUUCAGCUUCUCUUUGCUGGAGAGGUUUUGCUGCACAGCUUUCUUUAUUAAAACCUGUCCUGUUGGUUUCCAGUCAGAUGGCAUACACAACACAGUUUUCAGUACCUCCUGCUGUAGACAAAGGGUUUUGUAUGCAUUACACAACAGCUUACAUGUGAGUUGCUAUAGAACUGAAAAUGAUGUUGAUGCAUUUGAUCCAGUAAAACAAAGCCUGACACCUGAAGCAGGUCAGUCUGAAACAAUGGGAAGCCAAAACAUUAUGUAACACGAACACUGGCUUUAUUGAAAGGAUCAUCUAACUUUGAGCAUGUUACUGUAGUGACAACAUGUGAAGAAAUGAUUUGAUUGUAUGGCUAGAUCACCACCACUGUACUAUACACACGAUGAUUUCUGUAAUUACAGUCACAGAUAUAAGGGACAGUAGUGGAUGUGUGGUAGGUAAGUACUGAAUAUUUCAUGUCAUAAUAAACCAAUAGUCUCCUCAACUUUAUUAACAUUUUGCUCAGUUCUUCCCUUGCAACAUCUUCUCACUAUCUAUUCCAGUGUCUCAAAGCUAUGUAUUUUCUAUCAUGUAUCACUACUGACAAGUUUGGAAUAAAAACUAGUUUCAAUAAUCACCACAAACUGUCAC